UACAGGGGGGGCAAGCGUUGUUCGGAAUUACUGGGCGUAAAGGGCCAGUAGGCGGCCGAUUAAGUCCGACGUGAAAUCCCCAGGCUUAACCUGGAAACUGCGUCGGAUACUGAUGGGCUUGAAUUCGGGAGAGGGAUGCAGAAUUCCAGGUGUAGCGGUGAAAUGCGUAGAUAUCUGGAGGAAUACCGGUGGCGAAGGCGGCAUCCUGGACCGACAUUGACGCUGAACGGCGAAAGCUAGGGGAGCAAACGGG
RNAcentral lists this ribosomal RNA (253 nucleotides) under uncultured bacterium. RNAcentral describes it as "partial 16S ribosomal RNA". It matches the Rfam family "Bacterial small subunit ribosomal RNA", at positions 524 to 776 of the family's 1533-position model. The record is from RNAcentral.